RNAcentral lists this ribosomal RNA (396 nucleotides) under uncultured bacterium. Its description in RNAcentral is "partial 16S ribosomal RNA". It matches the Rfam family "Bacterial small subunit ribosomal RNA", at positions 523 to 918 of the family's 1533-position model. The record is from RNAcentral.
AUACGUAGGUGGCAAGCGUUGUCCGGAUUUACUGGGUGUAAAGGGCGCGUAGGCGGGAUGGCAAGUCAGAUGUGAAAUCUCCGGGCUCAACCCGGAAACUGCAUUUGAAACUGUCGUUCUUGAGUAUCGGAGAGGCAAGCGGAAUUCCUAGUGUAGCGGUGAAAUGCGUAGAUAAUAGGAGGAACACCAGUGGCGAAGGCGGUGUGCUGGAGCACAACUGACGCAGAGGCGCGAAAGCGUAGGGAGAAAACAGGAUAUGAUCCCCUGGUAGCACACGCCAUAAACGAUGAAUACUAGGUGUGGGGGGACUGACCCCCUCCGUGCCGCAGUUAACACAAUAAGUAGUCCACCUGGGGAGUACGGCCGCAAGGUUGAAACUUAAAGGAAUUGACGGGG